UGAAGAUGUUCAUUACUCCUUCUUGG
Molecule: non-coding RNA, 26 nt
Filed under: Mus musculus (house mouse)
Lineage: Eukaryota; Metazoa; Chordata; Mammalia; Rodentia; Muridae
Source: RNAcentral